This 556-nucleotide ribosomal RNA is filed under the name uncultured bacterium. Its description in RNAcentral is "partial 16S ribosomal RNA". It matches the Rfam family "Bacterial small subunit ribosomal RNA", at positions 355 to 914 of the family's 1533-position model. The record is from RNAcentral.
UCGAGAAUCUUCGGCAAUGGGCGCAAGCCUGACCGAGCGACGCCGCGUGGAGGACGAAGGCCUUCGGGUUGUAAACUCCUGUCGAGGGGGGAAGAAGCCGCAAGGUUGACUGAACCCUGGAGGAAGCACGGGCUAAGUUCGUGCCAGCAGCCGCGGUAAGACGAACCGUGCGAACGUUAUUCGGAAUCACUGGGCUUAAAGCGCGUGUAGGCGGGAGGGCACGUCCGUCGCUGAAAUCCCACGGCUCAACCGUGGAACGGGCGCGGAUACGACUCUUCUGGAGGAACGUAGGGGGGACCUGGAACUUCCGGUGGAGCGGUGAAAUGCGUUGAGAUCGGAAGGAACGCCCGUGGCGAAAGCGAGGUCCUGGACGUUUACUGACGCUGAGACGCGAAAGCCAGGGGAGCGAAACGGGAUUAGAUACCCCGGUAGUCCUGGCCGUAAACGAUGGGCACUGGGUAGGGGGCUCGCCGAUGGGCUCCCUGCCGUAGGGAAACCGUGAAGUGCCCCGCCUGGGGGAGUAUGGUCGCAAGGGCUGAAACUUAAAUGAAUUGAC